Molecule: ribosomal RNA, 151 nt
Filed under: uncultured eukaryote
Lineage: Eukaryota
Description: partial 18S ribosomal RNA
Rfam family: Eukaryotic small subunit ribosomal RNA
Source: RNAcentral
UGGUGGAGUGAUUUGUCUGGUUUAUUCCGUUAACGAACGAGACCUCGACCUGCUAAAUAGGGUGGCCCGCGUCCUUUUCGGGGCGGGCGUAUUGACACGCUUCUUAGAGGAACUAUCGGUGGUUAGCCGGUGGAAGUUCGAGGCAAUAACA